This 1152-nucleotide long non-coding RNA is filed under the name Nothobranchius furzeri (turquoise killifish). RNAcentral describes it as "lncRNA (ENSNFUG00015006295.1)". The record is from RNAcentral. Lineage: Eukaryota; Metazoa; Chordata; Actinopteri; Cyprinodontiformes; Nothobranchiidae.
AUGCCUCUGACUGACCUUCUGAAAAAGGAUGCGCCUUUUGAGUGGACAGCGCAGCAGCAACAGGCCAUGGAUGACCUGAAGGUUGUGCUAUGCUCAGCUCCGUGCCUGGCACUUCCUGAUUGUGACAAAGAGUUCCACUUUGAGGUCAGGUUCUCAUCUAAUUGCUUGAGUGCCGGUCUCUAUCAGGUAUACAACUGCGACAGGCGUGUCGUAGCAUACGCCAGUAAGCACUUGUCCGGUCCUGAGUUAAAAUACUCUGACUGUGAAAAAGAUUUGCUUUCCACCAUGUGGGCAGUUAAACACUUUUCCAGCUACAUUGGUGGACAGAAAAUCACCACUGAAACUCAACAUCAGCCAGUGACCUUCCUUAACAGUCAACGCAUCAGAGAUGGUGUGGUGACCAAUGCACACAUUGCUUCAUGGCUGCUUGCUCUUCAGAGCUUCGACAUUGAAGUACGCUACGAGCAGAACCGCCAUAGUCAUCUUGGCAUGGGUCUGGCUGCCUGCCAGCAUAACUCGGACAAUGCUGUCGCGUUGGUCCUACUGGCUAACCCUCCCCAGACUCUGCUGAACCCCAACCACCACUACUUCAACCAGGCUAUCUGUGUGGACUUGCCAACAGUGUACGUUGAUGGCAGUUCCUUUCGACAUGGUGCUGAACCUCGUUUAGGCGUGGGUGUUGUUUGGCUACACGCUAAUCGGAAAGACUCUGAGUGUUACCAGUUGGGUCCUAAGACCUCACAGUUUGCAGAAGUGGCUGGGAUCUUGAUAGUGCUACAACUCGCUGCUGACCGUGGUGUUCGUAAGCUGGUGAUCUGCACAGCCUCGGACUAUGCGCGUCUCAGUUUCAUUUGUCAUCUACCUUCUUGGAAAAGUAACAUGUUCUUAACCUCUAACUGGAAGCCCGUUAAACAUCAGGAUCUUUUCAUGGCAUGUGAUACCUUAGCGACAUCACAUGACAUGCAGAUCUAUUGGUGUAAGGUCAAAGGUCACUCUCAGGCACCUGGAACUGAUAAGGAUCUGAACGAUCUUGCAGACUCUCUUGCCAAACAAGGUGCAACUGAUGGUACCCGAUGGUCCUUCAACCCCUUGUGGCUCCCUGACGAUGUGUCUUCUCGGUCAGACCCACCCCUCGUGUGUGUCGUGACCUGA